GAUGAAACGCUGGCGGCGUGCCUAACACAUGCAAGUCGAACGAAAGCACCAUGACGGAUCCCUCCGGGGUGAAGACGUGGUGACUGAGUGGCGGACGGGUGAGUAAACGCGUGGGUAACCUGCCCUGUACAGGGGGGAUAACAGCUGGAAACGGCUGCUAAUACCGCAUAAGCGCACAGGAAGACAUCUUCCGGUGUGAAAAAACUCCGGUGGUACAGGAUGGGGCCCGCGUCUGAUUAGCUUGUUGGCGGGGGUAACGGCCCACCAAGGCGACGAUCAGUAGCCGGUCUGAGAGGAUGAACGGCCACAUU
This 311-nucleotide ribosomal RNA is filed under the name uncultured bacterium. RNAcentral describes it as "bacterial SSU rRNA". It matches the Rfam family "Bacterial small subunit ribosomal RNA", at positions 27 to 314 of the family's 1533-position model. The record is from RNAcentral.